This 840-nucleotide long non-coding RNA is filed under the name Equus caballus (horse). Its description in RNAcentral is "lncRNA (ENSECAG00000040612.3)". The record is from RNAcentral. Lineage: Eukaryota; Metazoa; Chordata; Mammalia; Perissodactyla; Equidae.
CAUAAAUACUAAUUGGUUGCUAUGGUGAUCUCAAGCUUGUAACUAAAACGGAGGUAUCUAGGUAACAGUAUCUGAAGGUGAGAAUGAUGAAUGCUUCAACUCUGGAGUUUCGUAGGGAGAUGGUGCUGGAGUAUAAAAACUGGCAAAUGUAGCCUCAGCUCCAAAGGAUUGAACUUGAGAAGAUCCAACCAGUCUGUCAAAGGAGUAACAAAUUUGCAAAGACUCAAUUGCUAAAUAAAGAAUCAAGAUCUCGAACCAAACCUUUCUCCUUUCAGGAUGUUGUGUUAGAAGUGACAUACAGAUAACUUUUCGUAUUCUAUGUGAGCAUCAUUUUCCUUGUGAAAUGUCUUGACGCUCCUUUGGAUGCAUUUCUACCCAACACAGGAUCCCUCACGCACACACGCCUGAUAGACGUUCAUCCAAGCAUGUGCUUAACUGAAUUAACAAGGUUUUAAAAUUGAACAAAGGAAGUCUAGAUCUUAUCAAUCUUUUAGUGUGUAACAUAACUCACCUCUUCUCCCCCUUUCGUAAAUAUGAAGAAUUCAGCUAUAUGAAGAAUUACUUUUAUAACAUUUGAGUGUUUGUUAUGUGUCAGGUAAUUUAUCUCAUUCACAUAUCCUGGAAAUCUUGGAUAGUAGACUUUAUUAUCACCGAAUUAUAUAGGAGGAAUCCAAGACUCACAGGGCCUUCCACCAUACAGAACUUUUAAAACAUAUUUUAUUAAAAUCGCUUGUGUGUCUGUAGGUGUGAAUUAUAAUACACACACAGAAAAUCAUUAAAAAAGAUGAAUAGUUUUAUCACAAUAUGAUAGAUUUAUCACAAUGUAAACAUCUGCAUAAC